This 1476-nucleotide long non-coding RNA is filed under the name Homo sapiens (human). RNAcentral describes it as "HSALNT0367006". The record is from RNAcentral. Lineage: Eukaryota; Metazoa; Chordata; Mammalia; Primates; Hominidae.
AUCUUUUAUAACGGCAUCAGACCACACUGAGUGCCUUCUAAUUACAGUCUGUGAGUCUUUCUUUAGUCAGCCAUUUCUAGUGCAGUUUGAGGACCUGUGAAUUUUUAUAUAAGCCUAGGAAUCAUCGGUAUUAGGGCUUUAAAUGUGACCUAUUUUGAAUCAAAUGGAAUCUGUUUUCCUCUGCAAUUGAAGGGAGUGAGCAAGCCAGUCAUUUCUUCUUCUGUGAGACACAAGAGGAAAUAAUUAAAGAGUUUUUUAUGGAGCAGUGUGAAAAUUUGGUUUUUUACUUUAGAAAACUGAUUUUAUGGAGUAUUUCUCAGGUUCUGAGCUUCCACUGACUGUGGUUUUCCAUUUAAAGGAACAAAAAAGCACUAGUACCUAAAAUUUGCUGUAAAAGACAUUUCACCUGCUUUGGUAUUACCUCACUGCCAUCUGACUGUAUCCCUGCCUUUCCUGAUUUCUGUGGCUAUAGUAGAAGUCUUGUGGAGUUUGUGGAGUUUUUGAAGUUUGUGUAGUUUUGAAGUUUUGAGAACAGACCUGUUUGUAGUUAUGAUCCAGUGGCAUAAGCUGACCUCAGGAUAUACCAGCUUGCUUUAUUAGUGACUUAAUUUUCUUACUGUAGUAAAUUGGGUGUGAUUUUAACUUGUUCAUUCUUUGUAUAUGUAUACUUUAAGUAUACAUAUUUUGUAUAUGUAUAUUUUAACUUGUAAGUGAUCAGACAUCUCUAUCAUCAUCUCUGAAUUAAAAUUAAAAUUGUUUAACUCCUGAAAAAUUCAACUGAUGUUAUGCAACUUGGAACAUAAGACCGGACAAAUUACUGAAUCUGACAUUUCAAAUAUUUCCUAAUGUGCUUUUAACUUUUGCUGGGCACAAAUGGAAUUUCUCAGCCUCUGUCAUAAAAAAAGAGUUUGUUAUUGUUUGAUAAAGUUCAUGUUAUUGAACACUGACAGUCAUCUCAUCCCAUUCCUAUCAUUUUCUUCAUCAUCAUCAUCAUCUGUCUUAUAGUAUGAAAUUAUACCUUGGGUCAUAAAUUACUCCUUUCAUUCUUUUUAAACCAAAAGCUUUUUAACUUUAAGUUGUUAUAUUGCAACCAAAUGGGACAUAACAACAAUAUACUCCUUGAAAAAAUGUUUUUUCUGAAUAGAAAGGAAUAUGUGCUUCUGUUGGGAAACGUAGAAUAUCACACCAAAAAAUGUUAAUACCUGUACUCUACCACUGUAUAUGUAACUAUUGACAUGUAUUCUUUCAGUUUCCUUCCUAUACAUUUAUAUAAUAAGAGAAUUGGGAUUAUAGUUCACACAUUCAUAACUUGAUUCACUUAAUGUGUCUUGAGUAUUUACUAUUAAAUAUUGAUGUACAUCUUUUUAGUUAUUAUUAGAAAAGCUAUAUGUAUUGAUGAUAAUUCCCCUGCCUUUUCAGCCUUCUUUUGUCAGCUACUGAUGAAACUUUUUUAUAUAAUAAUAAACAGUGCUGGGU